Molecule: ribosomal RNA, 253 nt
Filed under: uncultured bacterium
Lineage: Bacteria
Description: partial 16S ribosomal RNA
Rfam family: Bacterial small subunit ribosomal RNA
Source: RNAcentral
UACGAAGGGGGCUAGCGUUGCUCGGAAUUACUAGGCGUAAAGGGCGCGUAGGCGGAUAGUUUAGUCAGAGGUAAAAGCCCAGGGCUCAACCUUGGAACUGCCUUUGAUACUGCAAGUCUUGAGUCCGAUAGAGGUGGGUGGAAUUCCUAGUGUAGAGGUGAAAUUCGUAGAUAUUAGGAAGAACACCGGUGGCGAAGGCGGCCCACUGGAUCGGUACUGACGCUGAGGUGCGAAAGCGUGGGGAGCAAACAGG